UUAUCCUAACCGCUGAAAGCAUCUAAGCGGGAAGCCGGCUUCGAGAUGAGAUUUCCUUGCCCCUUUGAGGGUGUGAGGCCCCCAGCUAGAACACUGGGUUGAUAG
Molecule: ribosomal RNA, 105 nt
Filed under: Corynebacterium diphtheriae
Lineage: Bacteria; Bacillati; Actinomycetota; Actinomycetes; Mycobacteriales; Corynebacteriaceae
Description: partial 23S ribosomal RNA
Source: RNAcentral